Molecule: ribosomal RNA, 404 nt
Filed under: uncultured bacterium
Lineage: Bacteria
Description: bacterial SSU rRNA
Rfam family: Bacterial small subunit ribosomal RNA
Source: RNAcentral
CGAGGAAUAUUGCACAAUAGGCGCAAGCCUGAUGCAGCAACGCCGCGUGGACGAUGAAGGCCUUCGGGUUGUAAAGUCCUUUUCUGGGGGAAGACAUGGACGGUACCCCAGGAAUAAGUGUCGGCUAACUACGUGCCAGCAGCCGCGGUAAAACGUAGGACGCGAGCGUUAUCCGGAUUUACUGGGCGUAAAGCGCGUGCAGGCGGUCUGUUAAGUCGUGCGUGAAAGCUCCCUGGCUCAACCGGGAGAGGUCGUACGAGACUGGCAGGCUUGAGGGCAGCAGAGGAGUGUGGAAUUCCGGGUGUAGUGGUGAAAUGCGUAGAUAUCCGGAGGAACACCAGUGGCGAAGGCGACACUCUGGGCUGUACCUGACGCUAAGACGCGAAAGCAUGGGUAGCGAACGG